UCUAAAUAAAAAUUUUUGGGUUUUGACGGGCCAUUGCUGACGUCAGCGAAAUUUUUAAACGUUAUAUCUCCUUAGGCGUUUGUCGAAAACAUAUGAUCCUACACAUUAUUUUGAUCAGCGUUUUAACCUUUAAACAUUACAGGCAACGAAUAAACUAAACUUCACCAAUUUUUUUUGUAUCUGCACUGCUGACGUCAUCAAAAAACAUCUAAAACAACCUAUUUUCCAUUGUCCUUCUGACUAAGUGGAUUUCUCCACGGGCCUUAUCGACUAGUUUAUAUAUAAUACGUUAUAAUAUGUUAAAUUCCAAUCAUUUGUACAAAAUCUGCUAAAAAAGAAACAUGCUUUUUUAAUUAAAGAAAAUAAUGAGAUCCAAAAUAAUUGAAUUAUGUCAAAAGGAUGAUAUUUCUAGUUUUAAAUUUCGAUUAACUUCUAUGACUGGCAUAGCACAUUCACAUGCUUCAUUUUCUUUUUAUAUGGAUGUCUUUUGUAUUCUGUAAUUUUCUGUUCUAGUGCAUUGUUUAAAACACAUUUGCAGCUGUCAACUUCAGGGGCGGAUUUAGCUAUGGUGUACUGGUGUAAAUACACCAGCAAAAAUUCUGCUCAAAAAAUUAAGGUGUAUCUCUGUGAGCCUUUUGCUCUCAGAUUUUUACGCCCAUUAUUAAACUGAACUAGAAUAACGGCCGCCAGCGUCUGUCGCGUAUAAAACUGAUAUUCGUGUCCCGCCCCCCCGCCGUUUGGGUUUCGUGGUCCUGUUUUUGUGUCAAUUUAGCCGAAUGCGGCUGUUUCAUCCUGCGAAAUUUUUGAUAUCCUAAUCGUUACCGGCAUCAGUAUUUACACCAGUUCAACUGGUGUAAGCUGCGCAUUCUUAUGGGCAAAAAAUAUCCUGGUGUAUUUCUCUGGUGUAGCCAACUGGUGUAAAAUAAAAAUUAUAUGGCAUGACGAUCCAGGACAUAUAUUCAGGUGAGUGGUCUGCAAACUUUCUCUUUUACGACCGCUGUGAAACAGGUCAGUGUUUUUUUUACUUGAUUUAUUUCUUCGAAGAUUUGGAGCGAGAUGUAAAGUAAAGCACCAUAUUUCGACAUGUGUUGGAGAAGUAUCAUUUUUGGAUGCAAGACUUGGGAAGAAAAAGUUGGACUGAAUCUCACAGACACUACUGAAUGCUCCCUUGGUAAAAUUUCCAACAGAGUCUAUUUGUAGAUGUUUAAGGUGACAUCCAUGGAAGUUUUAAUAAUGGGUUGAUUACCUCAAGAACAAGUACAGAAUAUACGAGCGAAUGUAUAACCAUUAUGGGUGAGGUGAGAAAAAUGCAAUUUGGGUUAUUUGAGCUAAAUCACUUUGUAUAUACCUCCAACCACCAUGAAAAAAGACAAAACGUUUAAAAGUGCCAGUAACGACCAGUUUUCUGUGAGAGAUCUAUAUCAACGCUACGACGAGUUAAGACAUAUUCAAGAAACUUGAUGACCCAGGGUCAAUUUAAUGGUUUGGUGUUGCUAAAUAUCCACAACGAGAUGAGAAUAAAUUUAGAUGACAUAAUCGAUAUGCUGGUAAAAAAUAAAAUGUUAAAUAUCCUGAACGACGGUUAAAAGUGUAGCAGUCUUGAUAAAAAAGGAAUAAAUCUUGUAUAUUAUUAUCUGUUGCUUAAAUGUCCCCAUAUAUAAAUUCCCUAGAAGUAAUAAGGCAUGACAUCAAAAUUUUUAAAAAACAACAUUUUAAUUACUCAAGUUGUACAAAAAAUAUUCAAAAAUAUAAUCUUCGUCAGCUAAAAAAACAUUCAAAAUUAUAAUCUUCGUUAUUACUCAAGUUGUACAAAAAAUAUUCAAAAAUAUAAUCUUCUUCAGCUAAAAAAACAUUCAAAAAUAUAAAAAACUAAAAAACCCACUAUAUACCUACUUAUCAAAGAUAAGUCUGAAAGAUGAUUUUAAGCUAUUUUAGCCGUUUAAGGGCGUUGCCCUGGACCCAUUGGGGGACGCCCCCAAACCCCCAGUUGUAAGAUCUUCUCUUUGAGGCUUUUUUACACCAGUCAAAAAAAAUCCUAGAUCCGCCCCUGAACUUUUUUUUAAUACAUCAGUAAUGUAAUUGGAGAAUUAGUUUGUUGAGUAGAUGCAACUUUUGCACACAUCACUGCAGCAUGAAACUGCUUUAGAGGUUGUCUAUUUACAAUAAUUACCACCCAUAGCAUUAUGCUAUGAAAUGGUCUAAGUCAAGUGAAUUGACCAGGCAUUUAACAUCUACUG
This is a long non-coding RNA of Hydractinia symbiolongicarpus, 2237 nucleotides long. RefSeq lists it as uncharacterized. NCBI's taxonomy places the organism in Eukaryota, Metazoa, Cnidaria, Hydrozoa, Anthoathecata, Hydractiniidae. The record is from RefSeq and is a predicted model, not a curated record. The transcript is spliced from 4 exons.